RNAcentral lists this long non-coding RNA (970 nucleotides) under Homo sapiens (human). Its description in RNAcentral is "non-protein coding lnc-GOLGA6L4-2:2". Lineage: Eukaryota; Metazoa; Chordata; Mammalia; Primates; Hominidae. The record is from RNAcentral.
CAGUUAAAAGAAUAUUGGCAGAGGAAGAGCCCUGGCAUUCCAGAAGGAGCUAACAGGAAAAAGAAAAUCAAUGGCAGUAGCCCUGACACAGCCACUUCUGGUGGUUACCACUCACCUGGGGAUCAACAGGUAUCUACGGGGAGGGCCGUGCAUCAUCUGCUACCCUGGAGGAUCUGGAGAGCCAGUACCAAGAACUAGCAGUGGCCCUGGAUUCAAGCUCCACAAUAAUCAGUCAACUCACUGAAAACAUCAAUUCACUGGUUCACACAUUGAAAGAGGAGAAGCAUGAGAUACAUCAGGUACAGAAGCUUGGGAGGAACUUGUUCAAACUCAAAAACCAGACGGCUGAACCCCUGGCCCCAGAGCCCCCAGCACGGCCCUCUAAGGUGGAGCAGCUCCAAGAUGAGACCAACCACCUAAGGAAGGAGCUGGAGAGUGUGGGAAGACAGCUCCAGGCUGAGGUGGAAAACAAUCAGAUGUUGAGUCUCCUGAACAGGAGACAGGAGGAGAGGCUGCAGGAACAGGAGGGGUGGCAGGAGGAACAGGAGAGGCUGCUGGACAAGGUGGAGGAGCUGCUGGAACAGGAGAGGUUUUCGGGAGCAGGAUGAGAGGCUGUGGCAGCAGGAGACUCUACGGGAGCUGGAGAGGAUGCUGGAGUUGGGGUGGGAAGCCCUCUACAAGCAGCGGGCCGAGCCCCACAGCGGCUUCGAGGAGCUGGUGCAAUAAUGAGAACAAGAGUGCACUGCAGUUGGAGCAGCAAGUAAAGGAGCUGAAGCUUGCUGAAGAGCCAAGAGGCUCAGAGUCAGCAGCAGCAGCAAGACCAGUACCUGUCCCCAAUCGCCCGGGAGCUUGGGUGUGCGGACAAGCAGGGUGGGGAGACUCCCCAGGAGCACCCAGGCAUGGGCAGCAACCCCUGCAUGCCAUUCUUUUUGGGCUGCCGAGAACAGGGAGAUAAACACCACCAUCAUCU